RNAcentral lists this ribosomal RNA (465 nucleotides) under uncultured bacterium. RNAcentral's name for it is "partial 16S ribosomal RNA". It matches the Rfam family "Bacterial small subunit ribosomal RNA", at positions 28 to 507 of the family's 1533-position model. The record is from RNAcentral.
GACGAACGCUGGCGGCGUGCUUAACACAUGCAAGUCGAACGGAAAGGCCCUGCUUGCAGGGUACUCGAGUGGCGAACGGGUGAGUAACACGUGGGUGAUCUGCCCUGCACUUCGGGAUAAGCUUGGGAAACUGGGUCUAAUACCGGGUAGGAGCCAUCUUUAGUGUGGUGGUUGGAAAGUUUUUUCGGUGUAGGAUGAGCUCGCGGCCUAUCAGCUUGUUGGUGGGGUAAUGGCCUACCAAGGCGGCGACGGGUAGCCGGCCUGAGAGGGUGUACGGCCACAUUGGGACUGAGAUACGGCCCAGACUCCUACGGGAGGCAGCAGUGGGGAAUAUUGCACAAUGGGCGCAAGCCUGAUGCAGCGACGCCGCGUGGGGGAUGAAGGCCUUCGGGUUGUAAACUCCUUUCGCUAGGGACGAAGCUUUUUGUGACGGUACCUAGAUAAGAAGCACCGGCUAACUACGUG